CUAUAUCUCGUUCAGAAAUCGAAGGAAAAUAAAGAGAUUUGGGCGAUUACGAGACUGAUUCGAACAACUGAUGCUGAAACUGAGUCCGGCACUUAGGUCGCCGGAAAAAGCUUGAACAGAAAUUUGAUUUCUCGCCGCUUUCCCUAUUCCUUCGCCGGAUUCCGUCAAACGCCCUCCAUUUUCAUUUCUCCUUACUGAGUGUGUGUGUGCAAGUGUUUUCCAGCUAUAGCAAGUGUGUGUGUGUGUAUGAAUCGUGAGGUCUGUGUGUUAAUGGUGUGAGGUUAAGAAGAUGAUGGA
Molecule: long non-coding RNA, 297 nt
Filed under: Capsicum annuum
Lineage: Eukaryota; Viridiplantae; Streptophyta; Magnoliopsida; Solanales; Solanaceae
Description: long non-coding RNA (CANN_LNC016764)
Source: RNAcentral